Molecule: ribosomal RNA, 413 nt
Filed under: uncultured microorganism
Description: bacterial SSU rRNA
Rfam family: Archaeal small subunit ribosomal RNA
Source: RNAcentral
GUGCACCAGUCGCGAAUCCUUCGCAAUGCGGGAAACCGCGACGAGGGGACUCCCAGUGCCUACGCUCAGCGUAGGCUGUUCCCGAGCCUAGAAAGCUCGGGGAGUAAGGGCUGGGUAAGACGGGUGCCAGCCGCCGCGGUAAUACCCGCAGCCCGAGUGGUGGCCACUAUUAUUGGGCCUAAAGCGUCCGUAGCCGGCCCGGUAAAUGCCUGGGUAAAUCGUGAGGCCUAACCUCACGAAUUCCGGGUAGACUGCCGGGCUAGGGACCGGAGGAGGGAGAGGGUACUCCAGGGGUAGGGGUGAAAUCCUGUAAUCCCUGGAGGACCACCGGUGGCGAAGGCGCUCUCCUAGGACGGGUCCGACGGUGAGGGACGAAAGCCAGGGGAGCGAACCGGAUUAGAUACCCGUGUAGU